RNAcentral lists this ribosomal RNA (723 nucleotides) under Triticum aestivum (bread wheat). RNAcentral describes it as "partial small subunit ribosomal RNA". The record is from RNAcentral. Lineage: Eukaryota; Viridiplantae; Streptophyta; Magnoliopsida; Poales; Poaceae.
AUGUUUCAGUGCUCCGUGGGGCAUGUGGUCUGCUGGUCCUGCUGCGAAGGGCUCCCGGAAAAGAAGUGCGGCGUGUGCUCUGGCGAUGUCUUUGAGAGAUGCCACGCUAUGGAGAGCGUCCUGGACAGCGUCUUCGUCCCCUGCAAGCACGGAUGCGCCAAGGAGCUCGCCUACUACCAGCAGGUGGAGCACGAGAGGGAGUGCCCCGCCGGCCCGUGCUUCUUCCCUGUCCCUGGCUGCGGCUUCUCAAGGCCGACCGCCGCGCUCCAGGACCAUUUCACCAGCCUGCACAAGUGGCCGAUGAAGAGUUUCAAGUAUUUCGUGCCGUUCUUCCUCCGAGUAGUGCGUCCGGGAUCUCACGUCCUCAGCUGCGGAGACGGACUACUCUUCGUGCUCACGGUGGGGCCGCCGGUGGAGCCCCUCGGCCGCGCGGUGUCCCUCGUCUGCGUCCGGCCGAACGCGCUGGAGUCCCUGGUCGGAUGCUCUGUGUGCUUCUUGUGCUUCGCCGGCCAUUACCAGGUCUCGUCGCUGGAUGUAGAGACCUCGUCCCUGGCUGAUGGGCUGCCGGCACAGUGCUUCUGUGUCUUGCCCAAGGUUGCUGGUGACAAAACUGACGACGUCGUGCUUUGGAUCACCAUGGAUACAAUUUUCCCUAUUGACGAUGAUGAGCUGUACGAGGAUGAUGAUGAUGACGACGACAGGCGACAGCUAUCAGGACGAUGA